CCAACCAAGCAUUCAAUGAGCUUAUUUGCUUUAGCCUGGAGAGAAAAGUCAUGAUAUGCUGCUGAAUUACAUCAGCGAGGAACCAAAGUGUUACCCUUGGUGGUUAAGGAUUCCUUGGCAGUUCACAAGGGGCCAUUUAACUCAUAAUCGUGGAAGAGGACAAAGAAAUCAUUUCAGCUUGGUAUGAUGAGAGCGAUAAUGAAGAUAUGCAGAAGAGGGGCCCCUCACAUAGACUGUGGGGUUCAAAGAAGACAUCCUAGAUGAGGUAAUGCAGAGCUAAGCUUCCCAGAAGAAGCAAGAAUGCAUCAGGCAGGAUGAGGGUGGUAAUGGUGGAUGGGUAGGGUGGGAUGAAGUGUUUCAAGAAAAACAGCGUCGUGACAUACACAAUUGUUACUUUUCGGAUGACCAGCAGCUGCACCCCACACUGAUUUAUUCUGGGGACUUAAUCUGUCUCCUUACCCAGUGCCCACUGUUGUACUGUCGACAGGAGGGAAUACACAGGUCCCUUUCUCCUAGAGACUUGAGUUAAACACCCUUCCUUACGUGAUCUCAAUAGUACAACGACAGCAAGCUGAGCUAUGCCAUUCAGAUUUCUCUCUCCUUGAACUUCACUUUUGACCCAAGGCUGGAAUGAAGACUUGGAGUUUCCCUGGAGGAAUUUCUGCGGCGGAGCUCAGAGCACAUUGUCCAGCCUGCGCUCAAGAGGCUGAGUGGGAGAUGCAGGAGUGUAAAGUCUAGAAGUGGACUAUGGUUGGGCAGAAAGGGCCUUCCUUCCUUCCGACCACAAAAGCAGAGGGAGCUAAGUGUAGGCCUGGAGAAGAAGAAGAAGGAGAAAUUGCCAGAAGAGUGUGAUGCUCUGGGUAGGGGCAGAAUAGGGACUAUGUGGAGGAGAAACAGUUCAACGCUGGAAGCCCGAGUCCAGCUAUCUGAAUUACAGGGCCUUGUCUUUUAGCUUAGCUCUUGACCUUGACCUUGAGAUGCUCUCCCACUGCACCAAAAAGUGGAGGGUAUUUACAUAUCUCAUAACGGGAUGAGGAGAAGCGGAGUCCUAGAUGGAUGAAUGGUAGAGCGGGUGGAAGUCUUUGAACAAAUUCUUUUAUAAUCCUCUAGGUAGUAACGGGCUGAGGAAUCCACAAGAG
Molecule: long non-coding RNA, 1139 nt
Filed under: Felis catus (domestic cat)
Lineage: Eukaryota; Metazoa; Chordata; Mammalia; Carnivora; Felidae
Description: lncRNA (ENSFCAG00000041530.2)
Source: RNAcentral